This 468-nucleotide ribosomal RNA is filed under the name uncultured bacterium. Its description in RNAcentral is "partial 16S ribosomal RNA". It matches the Rfam family "Bacterial small subunit ribosomal RNA", at positions 28 to 507 of the family's 1533-position model. The record is from RNAcentral.
GAUGAACGCUGGCGGCGUGCUUAACACAUGCAAGUCGAACGGAAAGGCCCUGCUUUUGUGGGGUGCUCGAUUGGCGAACGCGGGAGUAACACGUGAGUAUCCUGCCCUUGUCUUUCGGGUAACUUCACGAAACUGGGGCUAAUACCGGAUAGGAUCUCCUGCUCCAUGGUGGGCGUUGGAAAGUUUCGGCGGUUGGGGUUGGACUGGCGGCUUAUGAGCUUGUUGGUGGGGUAGUUGCUUACCAAGGCUGUGACGGAUAGCCGGCUUGUGAGGGUGAACGGCGACAAUGGGACUAAGAGACGGAGCAGACUCCAACGGGAGGCAGCAGGGGGAAGUAUGACACAGUGAGAGGAAGCGUGAUGAGGAGGCGCCGCGUGCGGGAUGACGGCCUGCGGGUUGUGAACAGCUGUCGCCUGUGGCGAAGCGGGAGUGACGGUAAUGGGUAAAGAAGCACCGGCUAACUACGUG